UCCCUUCCCGGUCGGGGACGAGGGUGACGAGGUGGUGCAUGGUUGUCGUCAGCCCGUGUCGUGAGAUGUUGGGUUAAGUCCCGCAACGAGCGCAACCCCUAUUGUUAGUUGCCAUCAUUCAGUUGGGCACUCUAGCGAGACUGCCGGUAAUAAACCGGAGGAAGUGGGGAUGACGUCAAAUCAUCAUGCCCCUUAUGACCUGGGCUACACACGUGCUACAAUGGUUGGUACAACGAGUUGCGAGUCGGUGACGGCGAGCUAAUCUCUUAAAGCCAAUCUCAGUUCGGAUUGUAGGCUGCAACUCGCCUACAUGAAGUCGGAAUCGCUAGUAAUCGCGGAUCAGCACGCCGCGGUGAAUACGUUCCCGGGCCUU
Molecule: ribosomal RNA, 373 nt
Filed under: uncultured Streptococcus sp.
Lineage: Bacteria; Bacillati; Bacillota; Bacilli; Lactobacillales; Streptococcaceae
Description: bacterial SSU rRNA
Rfam family: Bacterial small subunit ribosomal RNA
Source: RNAcentral